This 383-nucleotide ribosomal RNA is filed under the name uncultured bacterium. RNAcentral's name for it is "bacterial SSU rRNA". It matches the Rfam family "Bacterial small subunit ribosomal RNA", at positions 1002 to 1387 of the family's 1533-position model. The record is from RNAcentral.
CUAAUCGCAUCUUUCCCUUCGGGGACAGAAGUGACAGGUGGUGCAUGGUUGUCGUCAGCUCGUGUCGUGAGAUGUUGGGUUAAGUCCCGCAACGAGCGCAACCCUUGCCUUUAUUGCCAGCAUUAAGUUGGGCACUCUAGAGGGACUGCCAGGAUAACCUGGAGGAAGGUGGGGAUGACGUCAAAUCAUCAUGCCCCUUAUGCUUAGGGCUACACACGUGCUACAAUGGGUGGUACAGAGGGCAGCCAAGUCGUGAGGCCGAGCUAAUCCCUUAAAGCCAUUCUCAGUUCGGAUUGUAGGCUGAAACUCGCCUACAUGAAGCUGGAGUUACUAGUAAUCGCAGAUCAGAAUGCUGCGGUGAAUGCGUUCCCGGGUCUUGUACA